CAGCCGCCGCGGGAACACGGAGGGGGCUAGCGUUGUUCGGAAUUACUGGGCGUAAAGCGUACGUAGGCGGCUUUGUAAGUUAGAGGUGAAAGCCUGGUGCUCAACACCAGAACUGCCUUUAAGACUGCAUCGCUUGAACGUCGGAGAGGUGAGUGGAAUUCCGAGUGUAGAGGUGAAAUUCGUAGAUAUUCGGAAGAACACCAGUGGCGAAGGCGGCUUACUGGCUCAUUCUAGACGCUGAGGUGCGAAAGCGUGGGGAGCAAACAGGAUUAGAUACCCGCGUAGUCCCUGUCUCUUAUAU
RNAcentral lists this ribosomal RNA (301 nucleotides) under uncultured bacterium. RNAcentral describes it as "partial 16S ribosomal RNA". It matches the Rfam family "Bacterial small subunit ribosomal RNA", at positions 509 to 809 of the family's 1533-position model. The record is from RNAcentral.